CUUAUACCUGCUACAGUCGGUCAAUCAGUUACUACUGACAGCUACGAAAGAACGAAUUGACUUCUUACCUCACUAUGACACACUGGUUAAAAGUGGCAUGUAUGAAUAUUAUGCCAGUGAAGGACAAAAUCCUUUGCCAUUUGCUCUUGCGGAAUUAAUUGACAAUUCAUUGUCUGCUACUUCUCGUAACAUUGGGGUUAGAAGAAUACAGAUCAAAUUGCUUUUUGAUGAAACACAAGGAAAACCUGCUGUUGCAGUGAUAGAUAAUGGAAGAGGAAUGACCUCUAAACAGCUUAACAACUGGGCCGUGUAUAGGUUGUCAAAAUUCACAAGGCAAGGUGACUUUGAAAGUGAUCAUUCAGGAUAUGUUCGUCCAGUACCAGUGCCACGCAGUUUAAAUAGUGAUAUUUCCUAUUUUGGUGUUGGGGGCAAGCAAGCUGUCUUCUUUGUUGGACAAUCAGCCAGAAUGAUAAGCAAACCUGCAGAUUCCCAAGAUGUUCACGAGCUUGUGCUUUCUAAAGAAGAUUUUGAGAAGAAGGAGAAAAAUAAAGAGGCAAUAUAUAGUGGAUAUAUUAGAAACAGAAAGCCCUCUGAUUCUGUUCACAUUACAAAUGAUGAUGAAAGAUUUCUACAUCAUCUUAUCAU
RNAcentral lists this long non-coding RNA (645 nucleotides) under Homo sapiens (human). Its description in RNAcentral is "long non-coding RNA NONHSAT177350.1". Lineage: Eukaryota; Metazoa; Chordata; Mammalia; Primates; Hominidae. The record is from RNAcentral.